UACGUAGGGGGCUAGCGUUGUCCGGAAUCAUUGGGCGUAAAGCGCGCGUAGGCGGCCAGAUAAGUCCGGUGUGAAAGUCACAGGCUCAACCUGUGAAUGCCGCUGGAAACUGUCUGGCUUGAGUCCGGGAAGGGGCGAGUGGAAUUCCCGGUGUAGCGGUGAAAUGCGCAGAUAUCGGGAGGAACACCGGUGGCGAAGGCG
Molecule: ribosomal RNA, 201 nt
Filed under: uncultured bacterium
Lineage: Bacteria
Description: partial 16S ribosomal RNA
Rfam family: Bacterial small subunit ribosomal RNA
Source: RNAcentral